GACAGAGGGGGCAAGCGUUGCUCGGAAUCACUGGGCGUAAAGGGCGCGUAGGCGGGAUGGCAAGUCGGUCGUGAAAUCCUUCGGCUCAACCGAAGAACGUCGGCCGAUACUGCCGUUCUUGAGGGAUGCAGAGGGGAUUGGAAUUCCCGGUGUAGCGGUGAAAUGUGUAGAGAUCGGGAGGAACACCGGUGGCGAAGGCGGGUCUCUGGGCAUCUCCUGACGCUGAGGCGCGAAAGCUAGGGGAGCAAACAGG
RNAcentral lists this ribosomal RNA (253 nucleotides) under uncultured bacterium. RNAcentral describes it as "partial 16S ribosomal RNA". It matches the Rfam family "Bacterial small subunit ribosomal RNA", at positions 524 to 776 of the family's 1533-position model. The record is from RNAcentral.